UACGUAGGGUGCGAGCGUUAAUCGGAAUUACUGGGCGUAAAGCGUGCGCAGGCGGUUCGUUGUGUCGGUGGUGAAAUCCCCGGGCUUAACCUGGGAAUGGCCAUGGAAACUGGCGAGCUGGAGUGCGGCAGAGGGGGGUGGAAUUCCGCGUGUAGCAGUGAAAUGCGUAGAGAUGCGGAGGAACACCGAUGGCGAAGGCAGCCCCCUGGGCUAACACUGACGCUCAGGCACGAAAGCGUGGGGAGCAAACAGG
RNAcentral lists this ribosomal RNA (253 nucleotides) under uncultured bacterium. RNAcentral describes it as "partial 16S ribosomal RNA". It matches the Rfam family "Bacterial small subunit ribosomal RNA", at positions 524 to 776 of the family's 1533-position model. The record is from RNAcentral.